GACGUAGGGGGCGAGCGUUGUCCGGAUUCAUUGGGCGUAAAGCGCGCGUAGGCGGCUAUGCAAGUCGGUUGUGAAAUCCCGGGGCUCAACCCCGGGACUGCGUCCGAUACUGUAUGGCUAGAGGUAGGUAGGGGAGAUCGGAAUUCCUGGUGUAGCGGUGAAAUGCGCAGAUAUCAGGAGGAACACCGGUGGCGAAGGCGGAUCUCUGGGCCUUACCUGACGCUCAGGCGCGAAAGCUAGGGGAGCGAACAGG
This 253-nucleotide ribosomal RNA is filed under the name uncultured bacterium. Its description in RNAcentral is "partial 16S ribosomal RNA". It matches the Rfam family "Bacterial small subunit ribosomal RNA", at positions 524 to 776 of the family's 1533-position model. The record is from RNAcentral.